RNAcentral lists this unclassified non-coding RNA (149 nucleotides) under uncultured Pseudocercospora. RNAcentral's name for it is "sequence contains ITS1". The record is from RNAcentral. Lineage: Eukaryota; Fungi; Ascomycota; Dothideomycetes; Mycosphaerellales; Mycosphaerellaceae.
CUGAGUGAGGGCCCACGCCCGACCUCCAACCCUCUGUGAACCAAGCCUGUUGCUUCGGGGGCGACCCUGCCGACGACUUCGUCGCCGGGCGCCCCCGGAGGUCUUCUAAACACUGCAUCUUUGCGUCGGAGUUUAAAACAAAUUAAACA